Molecule: transfer RNA, 71 nt
Filed under: Bos taurus (domestic cattle)
Lineage: Eukaryota; Metazoa; Chordata; Mammalia; Artiodactyla; Bovidae
Also listed under: 5 other names
Rfam family: tRNA
About the family: Transfer RNA (tRNA) molecules are approximately 80 nucleotides in length. Their secondary structure includes four short double-helical elements and three loops (D, anti-codon, and T loops).
Source: Rfam by way of RNAcentral
CCCUGGUGGUUCAGAUGGUAAAAAAUCUGUCUGCAAUGCAGGAGACCCAGGUCUGAUCCCUGGAUCAGGAA